RNAcentral lists this long non-coding RNA (553 nucleotides) under Populus trichocarpa (black cottonwood). Its description in RNAcentral is "long non-coding RNA (PTRI_LNC004206)". The record is from RNAcentral. Lineage: Eukaryota; Viridiplantae; Streptophyta; Magnoliopsida; Malpighiales; Salicaceae.
UUUUUUGUCAAAUGAUCAGGCAUAACACAAUAGCAGUUCAAAUUAACACAGAAAAAGAAGGAUAAAAAGCUACGUGGGGAAAAAUGGAGAGUAAAGAAUGAGAUAUCCACUGUCAAAUUUGAAUGUCUGACAUGCUUGUAACUAGGGUAACAUACUAUCUAAAACUUGCAAUUUGUUUCAAAAUCUACAUUUAUCAAUUGUAUUUGUAAUGCAUAAAACUUCAACUCCCAUUGCUGGACAAGAGUUUGCUGGUAGCGGAAACAAUAUGAAGAGUCUUAAAAUUAUGGCAAUUUUUCUCGAACUGUUCUCCAUGAGUAAAUAGCUUCCUUGCACAUCAAAAUCCAUAUUCAUAUAUAAGGGUGGCAGUUGGAUGAAUGUAUCAGUUAUGAUUUUAACAUUUAACUUUGUUUAAUACAGAGAAAAAAAUUUGAAAGAUUGACGAAGGUGGAUGAUUCUUUACCGCUGAAGAAUCUAUGCUAGGAGCUCGUUCCUUCUUCUUAAGGGAGGAGCUAGAUAUCUCCCCUGAUUGCGACACGCGAGAUUUCUUUGACCU